Molecule: ribosomal RNA, 623 nt
Filed under: Comamonadaceae bacterium Ri1Pw_5671
Lineage: Bacteria; Pseudomonadati; Pseudomonadota; Betaproteobacteria; Burkholderiales; Comamonadaceae
Description: bacterial SSU rRNA
Rfam family: Bacterial small subunit ribosomal RNA
Source: RNAcentral
GCCAUGCCGCGUGCAGGAUGAAGGCCUUCGGGUUGUAAACUGCUUUUGUACGGAACGAAAAGCCUUUCUCGAAUAAAGAGAGGUCAUGACGGUACCGUAAGAAUAAGCACCGGCUAACUACGUGCCAGCAGCCGCGGUAAUACGUAGGGUGCAAGCGUUAAUCGGAAUUACUGGGCGUAAAGCGUGCGCAGGCGGUAAUGUAAGACAGAUGUGAAAUCCCCGGGCUCAACCUGGGAACUGCAUUUGUGACUGCAUUGCUGGAGUGCGGCAGACGGGGAUGGAAUUCCGCGUGUAGCAAUGAAAUGCGUAGAUAUGCGGAGGAACACCGAUGGCGAAGGCAAUCCCCUGGGCCUGCACUGACGCUCAUGCACGAAAGCGUGGGGAGCAAACAGGAUUAGAUACCCUGGUAGUCCACGCCCUAAACGAUGUCAACUGGUUGUUGGGUCUUCAUUGACUCAGUAACGAAGCUAACGCGUGAAGUUGACCGCCUGGGGAGUACGGCCGCAAGGUUGAAACUCAGAGGAAUUGACGGGGACCCGCACAAGCGGUGGAUGAUGUGGUUUAAUUCGAUGCGACGCGUAAAACCUUACCCACCUUUGACAUGUACGGAAUUUUCCAGAGAU